UGUGCCCACCGCCCCCAGGCUCUUUUUCCGCCGGCACUACCCUGUGAGCAGCAUCACCCACUGCGGCACUGACCCCCAGGACCGCAGGUGGAUGAACCCCGACGGGACCGCAGCCAGGAUUUUCGGGUUCGUGGCCAAGCAGGCAGGAGCACCUGGGGGGGGCAACGCAUGUCACAUGUUUGCGGAGCUGGACCCCGAGCAGCCAGCGAGGGCCAUAGUUACCUUCGUCACCAAAGUCCUGCUGGGAACGCGGAACUGAGAGACCCCAGGGACCUCCCCGGGACCCCAGAAACCAUCUGGGGACUACCAAAGUCCCCCGAGGCAGGGAUCCUCAGGGGCACCCUCAAAACCCAGUGGGACUCCCCCCGCAUCUCCACCAAGGUCCUGCUGGGGACACAACCUUGAGGGACCCCCAGAACCCCCUGGGACCUCCAAAAAUGUCUGGGGAUGCCCAAAACCCCCAGUCCACCAUUCCAAGGGGCGGACAGAGGGACACACAUAACCAAACCCCUUGCCAUAAUCAUCACCAUCACCAAGGUCCUGAACACCCCCAAACCCCCCCAAGGCUUCCCCAAAACCAUCCCUGGACCUCCCAAACACUCCUCGACACCCCCGAUUUGGGGAGAGCACAAGGGGAUGCCCAUAAUCACCCUCACCACCAUCUUCAUCACCAAAGUCCUACUGGAUUUCUCCCCAAACUCCCUGCAAGACCCCUCCCCCAACAUCUCAAAAACACUCUCCAGACCCUCCCACCCCCUCUUGGAGGCCCCCCAAAACCUACUGCACCCCCUGAACUGCCCUCUCAAGAGAGGGGGGCUGGUAGAAAAGGGGGCACAGGGACACCCCUGCUAUCUGGGGGUUCCUGGGAGAACCCAAAUAAAUCCAGAUUUAUUUUGGUGUAA
Molecule: non-coding RNA, 902 nt
Organism: Cyanistes caeruleus (blue tit)
Lineage: Eukaryota; Metazoa; Chordata; Aves; Passeriformes; Paridae
Source: RefSeq, a predicted model, not a curated record